UCUCCGUUGGUGAACCAGCGGAGGGAUCAUUACCGAGUUUACAACUCCCAAACCCCAUGUGAACUUUACCAAACAUUGCUUCGGGGGGAUGCCCCGGUCGGGGGCCGCAAGGCCUCAUCCCCGUAACCAGGCGUCCGCCGGAGGCCCAAAACAAUCUCUUGUUUUUGUGGAAUCUUCUGAGUAGCCUUUAAGACAAAAAAUUAAUCAAAACUUUCGACAACGGAUCUCUUGGUUCUG
This 237-nucleotide unclassified non-coding RNA is filed under the name plant metagenome. Its description in RNAcentral is "partial contains small subunit ribosomal RNA, internal transcribed spacer 1, and 5.8S ribosomal RNA". The record is from RNAcentral.